AUUGAACGCUGGCGGCAUGCCUUACACAUGCAAGUCGAACGGUGACGGGCCUUCGGGUGCCGACGAGUGGCGCACGGGUGAGUAAUACAUCGGAACGUGCCCGAUCGUGGGGGAUAACGAGGCGAAAGCUUUGCUAAUACCGCAUACGAUCUACGGAUGAAAGCAGGGGACCGCAAGGCCUUGCGCGGACGGAGCGGCCGAUGGCAGAUUGGGUAGUUGGUGGGAUAAAAGCUUACCAAGCCGACGAUCUGUAGCUGGUCUGAGAGGAUGAUCAGCCACACUGGGACUGAGACACGGCCCAGACUCCUACGGGAGGCAGCAGUGGGGAAUUUUGGACAAUGGGCGCAAGCCUGAUCCAGCCAUGCCGCGUGCAGGAUGAAGGCCUUCGGGUUGUAAACUGCUUUUGUACGGAACGAAAAGCCUUCUUUUAAUACAGGAGGGUCAUGACGGUACCGUAAGAAUAAGCACCGGCUAACUACGUG
Molecule: ribosomal RNA, 482 nt
Filed under: uncultured bacterium
Lineage: Bacteria
Description: partial 16S ribosomal RNA
Rfam family: Bacterial small subunit ribosomal RNA
Source: RNAcentral